AAUCUUGCGCAAUGGGCGAAAGCCUGACGCAGCGACGCCGCGUGAGUGAAGAAGGCCUUCGGGUUGUAAAACUCUGUCCUCAGGGAAGAAGCAAGUGACGGUACCUGAGGAGGAAGCACCGGCUAACUUCGUGCCAGCAGCCGCGGUAAUACGAAGGGUGCAAGCGUUAAUCGGAAUUACUGGGCGUAAAGCGCGCGUAGGUGGUUUGUUAAGUUGGAAGUGAAAGCCCCGGGCUCAACCUGGGAACUGCCUUUGAAACGGGACAUCUUGAGUUCGGGAGAGGGUAGCGGAAUUCCCAGUGUAGAGGUGAAAUUCGUAGAUAUUGGGAGGAACACCAGUGGCGAAGGCGACUACCUGGACGAAAACUGACGCUGAGGCACGAAAGCUAGGGGAGCAAAC
RNAcentral lists this ribosomal RNA (399 nucleotides) under uncultured bacterium. Its description in RNAcentral is "partial 16S ribosomal RNA". It matches the Rfam family "Bacterial small subunit ribosomal RNA", at positions 360 to 773 of the family's 1533-position model. The record is from RNAcentral.